AGCUUCAAUAGUAAUUAACACUUGAUUAUCCAAAUUCUCUGCAUAUUUAUAGCAAGGGCAACUAGUACCAAGUAUGCUCUUGAAUGUUGGGCAGCAUGGAUCAAUUUUAGUUUCGUUGAACAUGCACCUGUAAAUAUUUGAUUCAUCACUAGCUGAGCAGCUCGAACUCGGGGCGGGAGGGGGUGGGGAUGGUGGUGGAGGACAUGGUGGUGGAGGUGGAGGCGGACAUGGUCGUGGCCGUGGAGGAGGGCAUGGAUAUGGCCGUGGAAACGGAAAUGGCCACGGCAGAUAACAUGGAAUAUCAAAUGGGAAAAUUUGUAAAUCGUUCCCGUCAUUGGCCAAGGCUACUUCUCUAGCCUCGGCAACUUGGCUGCAAAAUAAAAUUGCAGCCACCAGUAAAGUAAGGAGCAUUUUCAAGGUUGCCAUUUUUCAAUGAAUGAUUUGU
Molecule: long non-coding RNA, 445 nt
Filed under: Nicotiana tabacum (common tobacco)
Lineage: Eukaryota; Viridiplantae; Streptophyta; Magnoliopsida; Solanales; Solanaceae
Description: long non-coding RNA (NTAB_LNC014265)
Source: RNAcentral